GACGAACGCUGGCGGCGUGCUUAACACAUGCAAGUCGAACGGAAAGGCCCUGCUUUUGUGGGGUGCUCGAGUGGCGAACGGGUGAGUAACACGUGAGUAACCUGCCCUUGACUUUGGGAUAACUUCAGGAAACUGGGGCUAAUACCGGAUAGGAGCUCCUGCUGCAUGGUGGGGGUUGGAAAGUUUCGGCGGUUGGGGAUGGACUCGCGGCUUAUCAGCUUGUUGGUGGGGUAGUGGCUUACCAAGGCUUUGACGGGUAGCCGGCCUGAGAGGGUGACCGGCCACAUGGGGACUGAGAGACGGCGCAGACUCCUACGGUAGGCAGCAGUGGGGAAUAUUGCACAAUGGGCGGAAGCCUGAUGCAGAAGCGCCGCGUGCGGGAUGACGGCCUUCGGGUGGUAAACCGCUUUCGCCUGUGACGAAGCGUGAGUGACGGUAAUGGGUAAAGAAGCACCGGCUAACUACGUG
This 468-nucleotide ribosomal RNA is filed under the name uncultured bacterium. RNAcentral describes it as "partial 16S ribosomal RNA". It matches the Rfam family "Bacterial small subunit ribosomal RNA", at positions 28 to 507 of the family's 1533-position model. The record is from RNAcentral.